UAGGGAAUCUUCCGCAAUGGACGCAAGUCUGACGGAGCAACGCCGCGUGAGUGAAGAAGGAUUUCGGUUCGUAAAACUCUGUUGUUAGAGAAGAACAGCGCAUAGAGUAACUGUUAUGCGUGUGACGGUAUCUAACCAGAAAGCCACGGCUAACUACGUGCCAGCAGCCGCGGUAAUACGUAGGUGGCAAGCGUUGUCCGGAUUUAUUGGGCGUAAAGCGAGCGCAGGCGGUCAAUUAAGUCUGAUGUGAAAGCCCCCGGCUCAACCGGGGAGGGUCAUUGGAAACUGGUUGACUUGAGUGCAGAAGGGGAGAGUGGAAUUCCAUGUGUAGCGGUGAAAUGCGUAGAUAUAUGGAGGAACACCAGUGGCGAAAGCGGCUCUCUGGUCUGUAACUGACGCUGAGGUUCGAAAGCGUGGGUAGCAAACAGG
Molecule: ribosomal RNA, 429 nt
Filed under: Bacteroidota bacterium
Lineage: Bacteria; Pseudomonadati; Bacteroidota
Description: Bacteroidetes bacterium partial 16S ribosomal RNA
Rfam family: Bacterial small subunit ribosomal RNA
Source: RNAcentral